RNAcentral lists this ribosomal RNA (253 nucleotides) under uncultured bacterium. RNAcentral's name for it is "partial 16S ribosomal RNA". It matches the Rfam family "Bacterial small subunit ribosomal RNA", at positions 524 to 776 of the family's 1533-position model. The record is from RNAcentral.
UACGUAGGGUGCAAGCGUUGUCCGGAAUUAUUGGGCGUAAAGAGCUCGUAGGCGGUCUGUCGCGUCGGAUGUGAAAAUCCAGGGCUCAACCCUGGACCUGCAUUCGAUACGGGCAGACUAGAGUUCGGUAGGGGAGACUGGAAUUCCUGGUGUAGCGGUGAAAUGCGCAGAUAUCAGGAGGAACACCGGUGGCGAAGGCGGGUCUCUGGGCCAUUACUGACGCUGAGGAGCGAAAGCGUGGGGAGCGAACAGG